This 253-nucleotide ribosomal RNA is filed under the name uncultured bacterium. RNAcentral describes it as "partial 16S ribosomal RNA". It matches the Rfam family "Bacterial small subunit ribosomal RNA", at positions 524 to 776 of the family's 1533-position model. The record is from RNAcentral.
UACGGAGGGGGCAAGCGUUAUUCGGAAUUAUUGGGCGUAAAGGGCGCGUAGGCGGCUAGAUGUGUCAAAGGUGAAAUCCCUCGGCUCAACUGAGGAACUGCCUUUGAAACUGUCUGGCUUGAGGCCGGGAGAGGGUAGCGGAAUUCCCAGUGUAGCGGUGAAAUGCGUAGAUAUUGGGAGGAACACCAGUGGCGAAGGCGGCUCACUGGACCGGUUCUGACGCUGAGGCGCGAAAGCGUGGGGAGCAAACGGG